RNAcentral lists this ribosomal RNA (535 nucleotides) under Anthanassa ardys. RNAcentral describes it as "partial 16S ribosomal RNA". The stretch from base 398 to 535 matches the Rfam family "Bacterial large subunit ribosomal RNA", at positions 2473 to 2611 of the family's 2925-position model. Lineage: Eukaryota; Metazoa; Arthropoda; Insecta; Lepidoptera; Nymphalidae. The record is from RNAcentral.
UCAAAAACAUGUCUUUUUGAUAAUAAUUUAAAGUCUAAUCUGCCCACUGAUAAAUUAUUAAAGGGCUGCAGUAUAUUGACUGUACAAAGGUAGCAUAAUCAUUUGUCUUUUAAUUGAAGACUUGUAUGAAAGAUUUGAUGAAAUAUAAACUGUCUCUAAAUUAUAAAUAAAAAUUAAUUUUUUAGUUAAAAAGCUAAAAUGAUAUUAAAAGACGAGAAGACCCUAUAAAGUUUAAUAAUUUAUUUAUUUAUUUUUAAUUUUGAGUUAUAAAUAAUGUAAUUAAAUAAAUUAUUUUAUUGGGGUGAUAAAAAAAUUAAAUAAACUUUUUUUUUAAUAAAACAUUUAUAAGUGAGAAUUUGAUCCAUUAUUAAUGAUUAAAAGAAAAAAUUACUUUAGGGAUAACAGCGUAAUAUUUUUUUUUAGUACGAAUAAAAAAAAAAGUUUGCGACCUCAAUGUUGGAUUAAGAUAAAAUUUAAAUGCAAAAGUUUAAAAUUUUGAUCUGUUCGAUCAUUAAAAUCUUACAUGAUCUGAGCU